Molecule: transfer RNA, 74 nt
Filed under: Leptospirillum sp. Group IV 'UBA BS'
Lineage: Bacteria; Pseudomonadati; Nitrospirota; Nitrospiria; Nitrospirales; Nitrospiraceae
Rfam family: tRNA
About the family: Transfer RNA (tRNA) molecules are approximately 80 nucleotides in length. Their secondary structure includes four short double-helical elements and three loops (D, anti-codon, and T loops).
Source: Rfam by way of RNAcentral
GCGCCCGUAGCUCAAUCGGAUAGAGCAACAGCCUUCUAAGCUGUGGGUUAGGCGUUCAAUUCGCCUCGGGCGCA